AUUCUUCAACACGUGGAGAAAGCUUCAAAGUAAGACGACAGUGCCGAAGUUCUUAAAAUAGCACAAGCCCUAGGCAUUUUCCACCCCCGCCACCUGGCAGAGGUAAUCUGUGAUGCAAUGUGCUGACGCAUAAACCCAUGACAAGCCAAUUUGGAAUUCGCCCAUCCCUCUUCCUAUAUCCAGCCUCAAAACGAUGAAAAGCGGCUUUUCAAAACAGAAUCAGCCAAUCAAGAAAAACUAAAGACACAAACUAGUGAAAAAUUUAAAUUUUAAGGCCUCUUCAGGUCUAUAAAACCUUAAGAUAAAUGUAUUAGAAAAAUAGGUUUGAAAAAGAUAAGUUUAUUUACUUGAUUAGAUGUACAGAGCGUUUUUUUUAAGUACGCUGGAAAAAAAAUAUCACUUGAGAUGAAACGAA
This is a long non-coding RNA of Daphnia pulex (common water flea), 415 nucleotides long. RefSeq lists it as uncharacterized. The record is from RefSeq and is a predicted model, not a curated record. NCBI's taxonomy places the organism in Eukaryota, Metazoa, Arthropoda, Branchiopoda, Diplostraca, Daphniidae. The transcript has 2 exons.